RNAcentral lists this long non-coding RNA (207 nucleotides) under Mytilus galloprovincialis (Mediterranean mussel). Lineage: Eukaryota; Metazoa; Mollusca; Bivalvia; Mytilida; Mytilidae. The record is from RNAcentral.
GUUUGUAUUUCAAGUUUUCUGUGGGAUCUCGCACCAGGCCCUCGUUCUGUUAAGUAUCAUUGUAACAAAGUUGUCAAGAUACAUAGAGAGUUUAAUAUGUCUAAAUGUUCUAAAUUUUUGUUAAAGAGGAAAAAACUAUUUCUUGAGUGAUUUCUUAAUCAGGGCGUUCCUGUGCCCAGUGUCUAAAGCUUCAAAAUAACCUCAAAA